GAUCUGCACCAAGACCAUUGAUUUUCCCUUUCACAUACUAAUGUAGGUGAAUGCCAGCCGGAUCCCAUUGAUAACUAAUAGGCUAAUGGGUCUGUGUGAUUAUAAAAGCCCACCUUGUUUCAAACUCCAGGCACAACGUGUGUACAUGCUCCUCGUGUCAGCCUUUCCAUGAGACCCAUCGCUGCAGCGUGGAGAUCGAGAGGUCUUGCACGAAUAGGUCAUGUGUGCGCGCAGGGGGCUUCGACGUCUACCGAUACUAGUGCGUCGCUCCGUCCUCGACGUGCGUAGGAGCUUGAUCUGUGCCUUGGAAUGGGACCAAAUCCUACGCGCACGUACAUUGCGAUAGGCUAAUUACGCAAAUGAAUAGGUUAUAUUUAUUUUCACUAUAUUAAUACAGUUAUGCAACGAGUAAGAGUAAUGACGGUAGCAGCUAGUGUUCACUGGGAAGCGGUAAAAUGCCGCUCGCUUGUGGGCAUGCUGGCUGCAUAUGACAGCAUAUAGCAGCACUUUCGAUUGUUCGUUAAGAAUUCAGCAUAGCAAGUCUGAAUGAAGGUCUGGUUAUUAAAUGGGUAAAUAGUUAAAUAGUAAUAUUCUCUAAAACGCUAUGGUGACAAACACACUUUGCUGCCCUGUUUCCAAUCGUCCACAUGGCUGGCAGAACAUAUUCAAGUAGCUAUCUAACAGCCAUGGAGGAGGGUGAAAGGAUAGCAGACCCAACUGUCAAAGUGAGAGAGUAGGCUAUUCUGGAUAGGGCAGGUACUUUUGUGUAGUUCCUGUCCCUAGAAGUGAGGACGGAUAUAAUAGUAACAUAAUAUUCAGUGCCGUCUAAUUUGAAUAUAAUGAAGUCUGUUUCUUGUGAGGUUUUCUGACCUCAGAUACAGAGAGCUGUGAAAGCCUGUCUGCAGACGAAGAGGUCCCAAAGAAGAGCAAUGGUUCUCAGUCCUGGUCCUGGGGACUCAAAGGAGUGCACAUUUCUGUUUUUGCCUUAGUGCUGCACAGCUGAUUCAAAUGAUCAACUUAUCAUCAAGCUUCAAGUGUUAUUUAUGUAUUCAUUUGUGAUGUUAUCCUUGAUAUGAUCCUGCUAAAUUGUCACGUGCUCCACAUGCACAUGUGUGUGCACAUGCAUCUAUCAAUCCAAUGUUAUCAUGAUUUGUUCUACUUUAGUAAUCCACAGUGACCUGGUGAUGUAAAAGUUUAAUAAUAACAUUAUCUUCCAUAUUCCUACAGAUACCUUGUAACUGGAGAUUCCUUCAAAACGAUUGCCUACAGUUGCCGUGUAGGGCACUGCAAGGUUGGGUGACCAGGGCCAUCUGGAACUGCUUCCUGGAGGAAUUCAGACGUGUGAAGGCUACUGGUGUCCUGCAUAACUUCAUGCGGAUGGACAAGAGGACCAGGAGGGGAUCUGCAGCUCGCCGCCGUGUGCCAGAGGAGAAGUCUGCUGCUCAGCAGGAUGUUUCAAGGAUGGGGUCCAACAACGCAGCAAGAGAGGCAAUCCGUGUGCGGGAGAUCUUCACAUCCUACUUCUUUGAAGAGGGUGCUGUUCACUGGCAACACCAUAGACUACAUUACACUGAUUUCUACUUCUCAGCAUAAAGUACUCUGCAGCCACUUAGUAUGGACACCAGGUGUUUUGAUGUGAAAGAGGAUGCCAACUCCCAGUCCCGUCAUCGCCACCUCACCCGCUCUUAAGACAACCUUCGGGCCGACUGAGAGGCUGGUUAUGAGACACCACUAGAGACACUAUUAUGUAAUUGUGAUGAACUGAGAGAAUAUUAGGGUAGCACUGUGAUUCAUUAAUCAUAUCCUCUCUUCCCUGCUCCUCUGUUCUUACCUCUUUCCCUUUCUGUCUUUUUAUCUCUCGCCGCCACCUCUUCUUCCUGUUUUUAUAAUGCACACCAGAUGUGCAUUGAAGUACAGAUUGAACUUGUAUUUAUAAUAUUACAAUUAUAAUAUUUAUAAUGCAUGUAUUAUGUAUUUAUAACACUUGGAUAAUGAACUUCU
This is a non-coding RNA of Salmo salar (Atlantic salmon), 2001 nucleotides long. Lineage: Eukaryota; Metazoa; Chordata; Actinopteri; Salmoniformes; Salmonidae. The record is from RefSeq and is a predicted model, not a curated record.